CGCCUCCUGCAGUAUAUAGGAGGUCCAGCCUGCCCAGUGACCAAGUUAAACGGCCGCGGUACCCUAACCGUGCGAAGGUAGCGCAAUCACUUGUUCUUUAAAUGAGGACUAGUAUGAAUGGCAUCACGAGGGUUACACUGUCUCCCACCUCUAAUCAGUGAAACUGAUCUCCCCGUGAAGAAGCGGGGAUAAAACUAUAAGACGAGAAGACCCCAUGGAGCUUCAAACCCGGCAUCAACCAUUAACAUUAAUACCACAUUAAAUAAAUGGACCUGACUGCUGGUUUUAGGUUGGGGUGACCGCGGAGCAUAACAAAACCUCCAUGAUGAACGACCUCCUCUCUAAUCCGAGAGCCACCACUCAAAGAAUCAAAAAAUUGACAUUUAUUGACCCAAACUAUUUUGAUCAACGAACCAAGUUACCCUGGGGAUAACAGCGCAAUCCAUUUCAAGAGCCCCUAUCGACAAAUGGGUUUACGACCUCGAUGUUGGAUCAGGGUAUCCUAGUGGUGCAGCCGCUACUAAAGGUUCGUUUGUUCAACGAUUAAAACCCU
Molecule: ribosomal RNA, 553 nt
Filed under: Gastrophryne olivacea (western narrow-mouthed toad)
Lineage: Eukaryota; Metazoa; Chordata; Amphibia; Anura; Microhylidae
Description: partial 16S ribosomal RNA
Rfam family: Bacterial large subunit ribosomal RNA
Source: RNAcentral